AAGAAGAUUCAGAAGAAAAAGGGAGGGGAGGAGGAAAAGUGGGCUAAGCUGACACAGGGUCUCGGCAUGAGUGACCCCAUGCCACGAGGCAAUAAUGCAAGGGUGUGCUGCAUCACUGCCUUCCCAUGUACGUGAAGCGGACACCACAGCACCAAAAGGGAAGCCCUCUAAGCCACUACACCCCGGGGGGUAUCGACCUGCACAACGCAUCUGAUGGGGAGAGCGAGGUGGAGUGGCCAACUUGCCACCCCGAAUCAUGGCGAUCAGGCAACAACAUGUGGUUUGCUUGCCUGAGAACCUUAGAAGGCAAGCUGAUCCUUGUUUGGCCCAUGGAAGGUUGGUUCUCUGUUAACUCGUUGUCGGAAAUGCGUCUCAUUGGCUUUUCACCAUUACUGUUCUCUUAUAUAUGUGCUCGUAAUAAAGACGACAUCCAAUCCAAUCAGCAGAGAUAUGAUGCAGCGGGUGAGGAAGUCAUGCUGCGCUCGAGAACUCAAGUUACUUUGAAGCAUCAAGUUAUGGAACUGCAAGCAACAUUUCAUCGAAUAGAAAGCGGCAACAUCUUAGUGUCAACACGAUAAAGUUGAUCGACCUAACCCGUUUUCAAAUGCUAUUAUGUCCGAAAACCAAAUGCCUCUUGAGAUGGUUGAGUUGAUUAUUCCUUCUCGUCCUAUCUUAAUGACGAUAGAUCAGCAUGAGCUAAAGGAUCAUGUCAAAUUAUAUCAUGUUUGAGAAUGCCCGUAAUGAGUUCGAAUGAUGAAUGUAAUUGUGAGUGUUUAAACGCGAAUACAUAUACUAUGGCAGGUUUUUCUUUUAAUAGUCAUAAGCUAAGCUGGUGUAUCAAUAAGGAAUAUCUC
This 854-nucleotide long non-coding RNA is filed under the name Musa acuminata (dwarf banana). RNAcentral's name for it is "long non-coding RNA (MACU_LNC000047)". Lineage: Eukaryota; Viridiplantae; Streptophyta; Magnoliopsida; Zingiberales; Musaceae. The record is from RNAcentral.